GAUUAAAACUCAAAUGAAUUGACGGGGCCCGCACAAGCGGUGGAGCAUGUGGUUUAAUUCGAUGCAACGCGAAGAACCUUACCUACUCUUGACAUCCAGAGAAGCCAGCGGAGACGCAGGUGUGCCUUCGGGAACUCUGAGACAGGUGCUGCAUGGCUGUCGUCAGCUCGUGUUGUGAAAUGUUGGGUUAAGUCCCGCAACGAGCGCAACCCUUAUCCUUGUUUGCCAGCGAGUAAUGUCGGGAACUCCAGGGAGACUGCCGGUGAUAAACCGGAGGAAGGUGGGGACGACGUCAAGUCAUCAUGGCCCUUACGAGUAGGGCUACACACGUGCUACAAUGGCGCAUACAGAGGGCAGCCAACCAGCGAUGGUGAGCGAAUCCCAAAAAGUGCGUCGUAGUCCGGAUUGGAGUCUGCAACUCGACUCCAUGAAGUCGGAAUCGCUAGUAAUCGUGAAUCAGAAUGUCACGGUGAAUACGUUCCCGGGCCUUGUACACACCGCCCGUCACACCAUGGGAGUGGGCUGCAAAAGAAGUAGGUAGUUUAACCCUUCGGGGAGGACGCUUACCACUUUGUGGUUCAUGACUGGGGUGUUGUCGUACCAAGCA
RNAcentral lists this ribosomal RNA (607 nucleotides) under Vibrio tapetis. RNAcentral's name for it is "bacterial SSU rRNA". It matches the Rfam family "Bacterial small subunit ribosomal RNA", at positions 892 to 1497 of the family's 1533-position model. Lineage: Bacteria; Pseudomonadati; Pseudomonadota; Gammaproteobacteria; Vibrionales; Vibrionaceae. The record is from RNAcentral.